This 239-nucleotide ribosomal RNA is filed under the name uncultured bacterium. RNAcentral describes it as "partial 16S ribosomal RNA". It matches the Rfam family "Bacterial small subunit ribosomal RNA", at positions 81 to 334 of the family's 1533-position model. The record is from RNAcentral.
CGGGGCCGAGUAAAGUGGCGUACGGGUGAGUAACACGUGGGUAAUCUACCUUUUGGUGGGGAAUAACGCUGGGAAACCGGCGCUAAUACCGCAUAAGCUCGAAAGAGGAAAGGAGCAAUUCGCCGAAAGAGGAGCCCGCGGCUGAUUAGCUAGUUGGUGAGGUAAAGGCUCACCAAGGCAAUGAUCGGUAGCCGGCCUGAGAGGGCACACGGCCACACUGGCACUGAAACACGGGCCAG